Rattus norvegicus (Norway rat) is the source of this 69-nucleotide non-coding RNA. The record is from Rfam. Lineage: Eukaryota; Metazoa; Chordata; Mammalia; Rodentia; Muridae.
GGGGAUUUAGCUCAGCGGUAGAGCACUUGCCUAGCAAGCGCAAGGCCCUGGGUUCGAUCCCCAGCUCCG